Molecule: long non-coding RNA, 524 nt
Organism: Branchiostoma floridae (Florida lancelet)
Lineage: Eukaryota; Metazoa; Chordata; Leptocardii; Amphioxiformes; Branchiostomatidae
Exons: 3
Source: RefSeq, a predicted model, not a curated record
CUAAAAACUUGUAUCUUGUACAACUCGUGUGAUCUGUCGUAUGUAACCUGUGUAAUACAGAAGUUGGAGACAGUGCCAGCUGGAUAUGAUGGCGUGCAGGUUGGCGUUUUGUCUGAUGCAAUGUGCGCACGUGCUCGCAGUUCUCAUCAGUGUAGUGUCUGCCCAGUCCUGUGCACCUCAAUGCCGAUGUGAAGGUACCACCAUGGACUGCAGCCACGGAGCUCGUCCAGCGUUCCCAACAGAUCUACUCAUACCGUCGUCAACAAAAAUCUUAUUGAUGAACGACAAUCUGAUGACAAGAGUUAAUCCAACUCCAGCCUUUCCAAACCUGCUGGAACUGAACCUGGAAGAUAACUUCAUCACUGAACUGACACCGACUUCUUUCCGAUUGCGACCAAAUAUCCAGAUACUUCGUCUUGGAGGCAAUAAGAUCAUUGAUGUCUCCAAUUCUGCUUUCGAUGGACUAUCCCAACUCGUGAAACUGUAUCUGAAUCGUAACAACAUCGAAACGAUAGAAGCGUUUG